GUGGGGAAUAUUGGACAAUGGGCGAAAGCCUGAUCCAGCAAUGCCGCGUGAGUGAAGAAGGCCUUAGGGUUGUAAAGCUCUUUUACCCGGGAAGAUAAUGACUGUACCGGGAGAAUAAGCUCCGGCUAACUCCGUGCCAGCAGCCGCGGUAAUACGGAGGGAGCUAGCGUUGUUCGGAAUCACUGGGCGUAAAGCGCACGUAGGCGGCUUUGUAAGUUAGAGGUGAAAGCCCGGGGCUCAACUCCGGAACUGCCUUUAAGACUGCAUCGCUUGAAUCUGGGAGAGGUAAGUGGAAUUCCGAGUGUAGAGGUGAAAUUCGUAGAUAUUCGGAAGAACACCAGUGGCGAAGGCGGCUUACUGGGCCAGAAUUGACGCUGAGGUGCGAAAGCGUGGGGAGCAAACAGGAUUAGAAACCCUGGUAGUCC
RNAcentral lists this ribosomal RNA (425 nucleotides) under uncultured bacterium. RNAcentral describes it as "bacterial SSU rRNA". It matches the Rfam family "Bacterial small subunit ribosomal RNA", at positions 354 to 796 of the family's 1533-position model. The record is from RNAcentral.